RNAcentral lists this non-coding RNA (190 nucleotides) under Gracilibacteraceae bacterium. RNAcentral describes it as "6S RNA". It matches the Rfam family "6S / SsrS RNA". Rfam says of the family: E. coli 6S RNA was the first non coding RNA to be sequenced, but its function was unknown until recently. Lineage: Bacteria; Bacillati; Bacillota; Clostridia; Eubacteriales; Gracilibacteraceae. The record is from RNAcentral.
CGAAUCCUGGAAUGUUCGAUAUGCUUGUAUUUGAACCUACAGAGAUGACACGGGAAUCCAGGUACAUGACCCUAUAUCAAGCCUCAUUCAAAGCCUAUAAUCAGCAGAGGAAGGUAGAAGGCCAUGUCAGGAUACCCACCUAGCGAGGGCUAGGUGUCAAAUCACAGCUUAGCGACAUUUUGGGGGAAAU